This 638-nucleotide long non-coding RNA is filed under the name Olea europaea subsp. europaea. The record is from RNAcentral. Lineage: Eukaryota; Viridiplantae; Streptophyta; Magnoliopsida; Lamiales; Oleaceae.
GUGAAAACCCUCCCCACCUGUUCCCCUUCAAAGAAAACCCACCGGUUGUAGUCAUCCCAUUUCCACCUAGGCUCACACAAAAAAGCAAAAUCACAUUUUACUAUACACACACAACAAAAACAAAGGAAAGGAAUUACCUGUGGAUUUGAAGGCGAUGCUGUCGGUGUCGGAGAAAAAUGGUUAAAAGGUUGUAAAUUUUUUGCAACCACUGAAUCGCUGCUGACUUUAACACCGUUUUCCAUAUCUCUUUAAGGUCAAAUUUUGCAAGACAUAUUUCUCAGUUCUUAGGUCUUUUUUCUUUAUCAGAGUAGAUCCUAUGCGAGAGAGAAAUUUAUGGGUUUUAACCAAGGCUAAGGUUGAUUUUGAAAAUUAUCAUGUCGCCAUUAUUGGCCUUUGCCUUUUGCUUUUGGAAAAAAAUAGUUGAUUUUAACGUGUUUUGGAUGAUUAAUUGCAGCACUCAUGAUGAGAUGAUCGUUAUGGUAUUAUGUUAAAUCUUUUUUAUGGAUUAUUUUUGAUUGAUUUCUAGUAGUUUUAUUGGAUUUUUCUAGAUACUAUAGUAUAAUCUUUUAUAUUGAAUUUUUUAUGUGCAUGAAUAACUGUUGACGCAUGCUGAUUUUGAUUACUCAUUGUGCUACAUA